Molecule: ribosomal RNA, 292 nt
Filed under: uncultured bacterium
Lineage: Bacteria
Description: partial 16S ribosomal RNA
Rfam family: Bacterial small subunit ribosomal RNA
Source: RNAcentral
GUGCCAGCCGCCGCGGUAAUACGAAGGGGGCAAGCGUUGUUCGGAAUUACUGGGCGUAAAGGGCGCGUAGGCGGUUGAUCAAGCCAGAUGUGAAAUCCCAGGGCUUAACCCUGGAACUGCAUUUGAUACUGGUCAACUUGAGUAUCAGAGAGGUAAGCGGAAUUCCUAGUGUAGAGGUGAAAUUCGUAGAUAUUAGGAGGAACACCAGUUGCGAAGGCGGCUUACUGGCUGAAUACUGACGCUGAGGCGCGAAAGCGUGGGGAGCAAACAGGAUUAGAUACCCUAGUAGUCC